RNAcentral lists this ribosomal RNA (429 nucleotides) under Bacteroidota bacterium. RNAcentral describes it as "Bacteroidetes bacterium partial 16S ribosomal RNA". It matches the Rfam family "Bacterial small subunit ribosomal RNA", at positions 355 to 776 of the family's 1533-position model. Lineage: Bacteria; Pseudomonadati; Bacteroidota. The record is from RNAcentral.
UAGGGAAUCUUCCGCAAUGGACGCAAGUCUGACGGAGCAACGCCGCGUGAGUGAAGAAGGAUUUCGGUUCGUAAAACUCUGUUGUUAGAGAAGAACAGCGCAUAGAGUAACUGUUAUGCGUGUGACGGUAUCUAACCAGAAAGCCACGGCUAACUACGUGCCAGCAGCCGCGGUAAUACGUAGGUGGCAAGCGUUGUCCGGAUUUAUUGGGCGUAAAGCGAGCGCAGGCGGUCAAUUAAGUCUGAUGUGAAAGCCCCCGGCUCAACCGGGGAGGGUCAUUGGAAACUGGUUGACUUGAGGGCAGAAGAGGAGAGUGGAAUUCCAUGUGUAGCGGUGAAAUGCGUAGAUAUAUGGAGGAACACCGGUGGCGAAGGCGACUCUCUGGUCUGUAACUGCCGCUGAGGUUCGAAAGCGUGGGUAGCAAACAGG